CUUUAUUCUAAAUGACGUACUCAAAACUGAUCUACUGCCUGUUUUAAUUUUGGAUAACCAGAGGGGAUUUCAUUACAGGGUGCAGAUAUGAAGAGUUGCAAUUUGUGAGGCUUGUUGUUUCAGUCUGUUGAUCGUUAUGCACAGUUUGUUUGCCAAAGCUUUGUGGUGGCCUGUGGCAGCGUAAGGGUUGGUGGAAUGUCCCAGGUAAACACCAGAUACUUGACUCAUUCAUCAUCAUUUUGUUCCUCUCGUUUUGUCACAGCUGUGAGUAUUUAAGGAAGAUCGAUGAUACAAGAUGUCUCUCCUUCUUCUUCCCUCUGACGCCCUCCCAACUCUCUCCGCUCCAGGGGUUGCGUCCAACGCGGAAUCAUUCAGGGCCUCUAUCAUUUUCUCGUCAAC
Molecule: non-coding RNA, 399 nt
Organism: Pelobates cultripes (western spadefoot toad)
Lineage: Eukaryota; Metazoa; Chordata; Amphibia; Anura; Pelobatidae
Source: the annotation of a GenBank genome assembly